AAACAUGUUCUGGUGUAAUUUUAUAUUAGAUCUAACCUGCUCAAUGAAACGUUGUUUUAAAUGGCCGCGGUAUUUUGACCGUGCGAAGGUAGCAUAAUCAUUUGUCUUUUAAUUGGAGGCUUGUAUGAAUGGUUGGAUGAAGGAGUGGCUUUCUUUAUAUUAUGGAAUUGAAUUUAACUUUUAAGUCAAAAGGCUUAGAUUUUUAAAUGGGACGAGAAGACCCUAUAGAAUUUUAUUUUUAUAUGAUUAAUUUAUUGUUUUGGUUAAUAUUUUAUUUAAUUAUUUUAAAAAUUUUGUUGGGGUGACAGUAAGAUUUAUUUAACUCUUAUAAUUAAUUUUUUAUUAAUUAGUAUAUAUUAGAUCCUUAAUUUAGGAUAAUUAGAUUAAAUUACCUUAGGGAUAACAGCGUAAUUCUACUGGAGAGUUCUUAUUGAUAGUGGGGUUUGCGACCUCGAUGUUGGAUUAAAAUAAGAUUUGAGUGCAGAAGCUUAAU
This 493-nucleotide ribosomal RNA is filed under the name Euschistus heros (neotropical brown stinkbug). RNAcentral describes it as "partial 16S ribosomal RNA". It matches the Rfam family "Archaeal large subunit ribosomal RNA", at positions 1903 to 2636 of the family's 2987-position model. The record is from RNAcentral. Lineage: Eukaryota; Metazoa; Arthropoda; Insecta; Hemiptera; Pentatomidae.